AGUUUCCAUUUUUUGACAGUUAAUGAGGUUUAGUGUGAAUUCUGUUGAUGUGUUGAUUAUAAAUUAUUUUUAUUAUGAUUAACGUUAAUUGCAUAAAAAACAUUUGUGGUAGUGUCGAUAUGGCGACCAGGUGUAAUUACAAGUGAAUUAAUAAGAUUUGUAAUUGAUUAAAUCACGUAAUUAUCAUAAUUUUAUAUCAGCUUCUAUUCGAAUUAUUUUGAAAACUAUAUAGAUAUUUUUGUUUUGUUUCAAACAGCAAUUUUUUGCUCUAAUAAUUGAACUGAAAAGAUUUUUUCUUUGGAAAUUCGUAAAGUAUAUUUACGCAACAUAUGUAUAUAAGUGCAAUUAUCCAAUUUUUUUUUCAUGCUCAUUAGACAGUACAAGAAGGUCCGUGGAAUAUUUCUUAUCAACACAAAACAUUACAUAAAAAUAGAAAACUAUCCGUAAAAUAGUAGAGAGAAAGUUUUUAUUUUGAUAUUUUCAAUGAUGUUAAAAUUGUUAUUACAUUAUUUUUUCCUAUUUUUGAUUAUCAAGGACAUUUGCUACCCUAUCUGAUUAUGUAUUUUCCAUUACAUAGAAUUGAUUAUGACUUAAUGUAUUUCAAAAUAUUCUUUCUCCAGUAAGAUCAAUACACUUUUACAUUGGUUUGGAACAAUUGUCGUAUUGUCUGAUUGUGAUUUGUAAAACAAGGAGGCUCGAGAUGGUGCUUCAUCACGAAAAGUCAUAGCUAGUUGAUCAGCACUCUGCUGAUGGUUUAAUGCAAAAGUCAAAAAUAAUUCAAACUAUUUUAAACAAUAAAACAAGUUUCAGGGUCGUAUGUGAAGAUUCGUCGAUAUUUCGAAGCACCGUGUUUGAAUUUUUUCAACAUUUGUUGGCACCGACCGACACGAGUUUCUGGAACGUUUCAACAGUCAAAUGGUGGUGCUUCAAUACCAAAAAUCGAAUUAAGUUGAUCGGCAUACUAGUGUUGGUUCAAUCAACGCCGAUAAAUUCAUAGAAAAGUAUAAAUAGCACUCGUACGACAACACGUCCGUUAAAAAUGUCAAAUUUGACAUAUUCGCAUCGGUGUCGCCGCGUCUCAAAACUUUAGUAGCAACUGAAUACACAUUAAACGCAGAUAUUUGCAUAAGUAAAUUAUUCUUCUAUUUUUUUUUAGGCUCUGUUCACGGUGAAAAUGAAGUUUUUUUGUUAACAACGUCAAAAAGUAUGAUGGAAAUGUUAUGACAUGACCAAAUGAAAGAAAGAUAGACAACAUAAAGGCACUAUUCGUCUGCAAUCUAAUGCAAUCAAGCAACAUAUUAAAAUACCACUGUACCUUCCUGU
Diorhabda sublineata is the source of this 1323-nucleotide long non-coding RNA. RefSeq lists it as uncharacterized. The transcript has 2 exons. NCBI's taxonomy places the organism in Eukaryota, Metazoa, Arthropoda, Insecta, Coleoptera, Chrysomelidae. The record is from RefSeq and is a predicted model, not a curated record.